RNAcentral lists this ribosomal RNA (460 nucleotides) under uncultured bacterium. RNAcentral's name for it is "partial 16S ribosomal RNA". It matches the Rfam family "Bacterial small subunit ribosomal RNA", at positions 338 to 795 of the family's 1533-position model. The record is from RNAcentral.
CCUACGGGGGGCAGCAGUGAGGAAUAUUGGUCAAUGGUCGCGAGCCUGAACCAGCCAAGUAGCGUGAAGGAUGACUGCCCUACGUGUUGUAAACUUCUUUUGUAAGGGAAUAAAGUCAGGCACGUGUGCCUUUUUGUAUGUACUUUAUGAAUAAGGAUCGGCUAACUCCGUGCCAGCAGCCGCGGUAAUACGGAGGAUCCGAGCGUUAUCCGGAUUUAUUGGGUUUAAAGGGAGCGUAGAUGGGUUGUUAAGUCAGUGGUGAAAGUUUGCGGCUCAACCGUAAAAUUGCAAUUGAUACUGGCAGUCUCGAGUACAGUUGAGGUAGGCGGAAUUCGUGGUGUAGCGGUGAAAUGCUUAGAUAUCACGAAGAACUCCGAUUGCGAAGGCAGCUUACCAACUCGCCACUGACAUUGAUGCUCGAAAGUGUGGGUAUCAAACAGGAUUAGAUACCCGAGUAGUC